CAGUCGCCGCGGUAAUACGUAGGUCCCGAGCGUUGUCCGGAUUUAUUGGGCGUAAAGCGAGCGCAGGCGGUUAGAUAAGUCUGAAGUUAAAGGCUGUGGCUUAACCAUAGUACGCUUUGGAAACUGUUUAACUUGAGUGCAAGAGGGGAGAGUGGAAUUCCAUGUGUAGCGGUGAAAUGCGUAGAUAUAUGGAGGAACACCGGUGGCGAAAGCGGCUCUCUGGCUUGUAACUGACGCUCAUGCACGAAAGCGUGGGGAGCAAACAGGAUUAGAUACCCCCGUAGUCCCUGUCUCUUAUACA
RNAcentral lists this ribosomal RNA (301 nucleotides) under uncultured bacterium. Its description in RNAcentral is "partial 16S ribosomal RNA". It matches the Rfam family "Bacterial small subunit ribosomal RNA", at positions 509 to 808 of the family's 1533-position model. The record is from RNAcentral.